GGGCGGAUAGCUCAGUUGGUUAGAGCACACGGUUGACAUCCGUGAGGUCGCAGGUUCGAGCCCUGUUUCGCCCACAA
RNAcentral lists this transfer RNA (77 nucleotides) under Leptolinea tardivitalis. RNAcentral's name for it is "tRNA-Val". It matches the Rfam family "tRNA". From Rfam's summary of the family: Transfer RNA (tRNA) molecules are approximately 80 nucleotides in length. Their secondary structure includes four short double-helical elements and three loops (D, anti-codon, and T loops). Further hydrogen bonds mediate the characteristic L-shaped molecular structure. tRNAs have two regions of fundamental functional importance: the anti-codon, which is responsible for specific mRNA codon recognition, and the 3' end, to which the tRNAs corresponding amino acid is attached (by aminoacyl-tRNA synthetases). tRNAs cope with the degeneracy of the genetic code in two manners: having more than one tRNA (with a specific anti-codon) for a particular amino acid; and 'wobble' base-pairing, i.e. permitting non-standard base-pairing at the 3rd anti-codon position. Lineage: Bacteria; Bacillati; Chloroflexota; Anaerolineae; Anaerolineales; Anaerolineaceae. The record is from RNAcentral.